This 951-nucleotide long non-coding RNA is filed under the name Oncorhynchus kisutch (coho salmon). RNAcentral describes it as "lncRNA (ENSOKIG00005010853.1)". The record is from RNAcentral. Lineage: Eukaryota; Metazoa; Chordata; Actinopteri; Salmoniformes; Salmonidae.
CUAUUUGCAUGCACACCAACACACAUACUGUAUGAAGUGCUUGUUAAUUAUACAUAUGAGAAGUCAGUCUAGCCUUAGGUGAACCAUCACCUAGUUGAACCCCUCAGUUACUGUUACAUAUUCAUUUAUGACAUGAUACAUGUAGCAAUGUAAUAUAGCAUUAUCUAAAAACCACAUUUUACAUGUACUGGAUUUGAUUGUUGUUAAUCCUUGCUUCUAAAUUAGAGUUGGGUGUAGGCCUACUGCACAGGAACGUGGCAGCCGCCUAUAGGAUUAGUAGAAUUGAUAAGCUAUAUAGGUCGACUAUAACCUAAACGCAUAUUAUGCAGAAAUGGGAAUCUAUUGCAAUGAAUCGCAGAAUGAGUGAUCCGGUCGCACUCUCUCCCACUGUAGGCUAUAAUGACUGACGAAGGUAACGAGAGGACUUGUGAUGCUGCACCCACUGAGCAGAUGUUGCCACGAGAGACUAUAGUGCUGCAACAAGAGACAAGACACGUCUUGGAUCACAAAUAGGAUCCGUGCGCAUGCUCCGUCUGUUCCGUUUACUGUAUAUUCACUGUGGUAAAAGGGCAGGCAGGCAACAAACCAAGCUUUUUACAGCAAAGUGGCUUCUACAAUGUAAAUACGCUUCAGGGAAACCAAAAGGGAUAUCAACAGGUAUGCUUUUAAUUUAUAUCUUAGCAGUUAUUUCGAUUUUUAUUCGCUUAUUUUCUGUGGUUUUGGAUUCCCUUCAAUUCAUAGCGGGUUCUUGGAAAUUCUUCUGCCUAAUGGACGUGCGGAUUCGCUACACUGUAAUGUUCAAUCCAACAGUGAACGGUAUUUUUAGGUGUGAUGAGACAAAAGAACAAAGGAUGCCGUAGAAGAGAGGCUGCUUACAAGCCGGGAAUCUGCUUCAAAGCACAACAAAUGGAUCUAUCGCCUCCCCCUGCCGCCUCUAGAUAAUGAUACUUG